ACACGACUACAUUAGAUACCCGGGGUAGUCCCAGCCGUAAACGAUACUCGCUAGGUGUCGGCCACGGUGCGACCGUUGUCGGUGCCGUAGGGAAGCCGUGAAGCGAGCCACCUGGGAAGUACGGCCGCAAGGCUGAAACUUAAAGGAAUUGGCGGGGGAGCACCACAACGGGUGGAGCUUGCGGUUUAAUUGGAUUCAACGCCGGAAAUCUUACCGGGACCGACAGCAACAUGAAGGCCAGGCUGAAGACUUUGCCGGAUUAGCUG
This 266-nucleotide ribosomal RNA is filed under the name uncultured archaeon. RNAcentral describes it as "partial 16S ribosomal RNA". It matches the Rfam family "Archaeal small subunit ribosomal RNA", at positions 717 to 982 of the family's 1478-position model. The record is from RNAcentral.